RNAcentral lists this ribosomal RNA (440 nucleotides) under uncultured bacterium. RNAcentral's name for it is "partial 16S ribosomal RNA". It matches the Rfam family "Bacterial small subunit ribosomal RNA", at positions 338 to 795 of the family's 1533-position model. The record is from RNAcentral.
CCUACGGGUGGCAGCAGUGGGGGAUAUUGCACAAUGGGGGAAACCCUGAUGCAGCGACGCCGCGUGUGGGAAGACGGUCCUCUGGAUUGUAAACCACUGUUCCCAGGGACGAAGAUGACGGUACCUGGGGAGGAAGCUCCGGCAAACUACGUGCCAGCAGCCGCGGUAAUACGUAGGGUGCGAGCGUUGUCCGGAAUUACUGGGUGUAAGGGGAGCGUAGGCGGGGAUGCAAGUUGGGUGUAAAAACUACCGGCUCAACUGGUAGUCGCACUCGAAACUGCAGCUCUUGAGUGAAGUAGAGGCAGGCGGAAUGCCUGGUGUAGCGGUGAAAUGCGUAGAUAUUAGGAGGAACACCAGUGGCGAAGGCAGCCUGCUGGGCUUUUACUGACGCUGAGGCUCGAAAGUGUGGGGAGCAAACAGGAUUAGAUACCCUUGUAGUC